RNAcentral lists this transfer RNA (73 nucleotides) under Candidatus Brocadiaceae bacterium. It matches the Rfam family "tRNA". From Rfam's summary of the family: Transfer RNA (tRNA) molecules are approximately 80 nucleotides in length. Their secondary structure includes four short double-helical elements and three loops (D, anti-codon, and T loops). RNAcentral also lists the same sequence under 1 other name. The record is from Rfam by way of RNAcentral. Lineage: Bacteria; Pseudomonadati; Planctomycetota; Candidatus Brocadiia; Candidatus Brocadiales; Candidatus Brocadiaceae.
CAGAGGUUAGCUUAAUUGGUAAAGCAUACGGUUCGGGACCGUAAGACUGCUGGUUCAAGUCCAGUACCUCUGA